Molecule: long non-coding RNA, 1089 nt
Organism: Spinacia oleracea (spinach)
Lineage: Eukaryota; Viridiplantae; Streptophyta; Magnoliopsida; Caryophyllales; Amaranthaceae
Exons: 3
Source: RefSeq, a predicted model, not a curated record
CAACCGUUUCAACAUUACAUAGUCAAGCCCAAACCAAUAAGCCAUUCAAGCCCAUCAAAAUGCCAUCCUAAAUCUGAAUUUUUAAACCCAAAAGAAAAAGGAAAAUAAAAAUCAACACCAACAUCAUCAACAUCACGCAUCAUUCUUCACCAUCAUCACUAAUCACCAUGUUCAUCAUCAUACAUCCAUGGAAGCUUCUUGCAAGUUGCAAAUUUACUACUUAGCUUCUUCUACGUGUAAAUCUCUAAAUCAAACACCAUCAUCAAGCUCUCUCCACCAUAUGAUGCACCACCCAAAUCACCCAAUCAAAAUUGAUUCUCAAUCUGAAUAAUCACUCAAAUUCAUCUAUAAAUAGUGCAAGGAUUCAACUAAAUUCAAUUCACAAAUCAAUUGCUAACUCAUCUUCAAAUUUCAGCAAGUUUCAAUUCAAGAAAAAUCAAUUUCAAACCUCCCUGCUUCUCGUUUUGCUCCCGCCGACCACCGCCGCGGCUCUGCCGCUGCGUCAGCCACCACCACCCUGCUUCUUCGACCUUCUCCUGCUCCUCCCUCAUGCUCGCCGUCCUACCUCCACCACCGUCGCCCUCCUCCUCUCCUCUUCCUCUCGCGACUCCCUCCUAUCUCUUUCCUCUUCGUUGCGCUCCCUGCAGCGUCACCACCAGCAGAACCCGCGGCCACCCUCCUCGCCUUUUGCAUCACCGGCGCUUCCCUAGCCCGACCGGCGAACCAACCCCGCGCAGCUCCUCCCUUCUCUUCUUCCUCUGACCAAUUUUGGUCUUUUAUUAUUUUAUGAACUAUCAGUAAAUUAAAUACCCAAGUUGAUCUUUCCUUGACCCAUUAAGAAAGCGGUCCUUGGAGCUCAAGAAGAACGGUCAAUCGAAAGUAAGGAAAACGAGUGCUAAUUGAGGUUUGAGGUACCGAAGAGGACAACGGGAUGGAUUAGUGGUGAGGACGUAUCAGUUAAAGCAAGGUUACUCAGUUUAAUAAGUGAGCUUCACUAGUUAAUUAUGUACUAAAACUCUAGCUUUAAAUUCUAAGGAUUAUUAUGGUUUGUAUUAUGACAAUUUAGUUAAUAUCACGAGUCUUUUGUUA